Dipodomys spectabilis (banner-tailed kangaroo rat) is the source of this 685-nucleotide long non-coding RNA. RefSeq lists it as uncharacterized. Lineage: Eukaryota; Metazoa; Chordata; Mammalia; Rodentia; Heteromyidae. The transcript is spliced from 2 exons. The record is from RefSeq and is a predicted model, not a curated record.
UGCUUCCCCAGACAUCUGGACUUUAGAUAGCAAGUUCUUACUGAAAAUGUAAAAAUCCUCACUUGUGAAUUGGUAUUCCAGUCAGAGUUUGCAGCAGCCUUGAACACCAGAGCCCUGAGAGAUAAGGGCCGAAGAAUCUGGCAAAUCUGUUUGAUUUGCCAGACACAAGUGCCUAGAGAGCCCACCCAGCUGGGUGGGAGCUCGUCCUGCUGCUCCUCCCACAGUCUCCCUGCUUACAAGUCCAGGUUACAAGUCUUCAGAGCCAGGAUGGAGCCCAGGCCUUGUACCUGCUUGGCAAACCCUCUGCACCAGACUGCUUCCCCAGUCCCUUCAGGUAUUGUUCUGUGUAAUUCUUCGUUCCACUGUCAUUCUGGAAUAGAGUUCAUAGUGCUGAGGUCAGCUUCAGUUCCAGCCGAAAGGCUUUCAUUCUCCUUGUCCCAUCAGGCUUCUAUGUAUUCUGUGCAGGUGACACCAUAAGCAGCAUGUCAGUGUUACACUAAAAGCCAAAACUAGGUUCCUUAGGAAAAAGUAGGUGGCAGGGCAACAAAAUGAACAUUUCUGACUUUUUCAUAGUAUUUGGGAAAAGCAAUGUCUUUCAUUUCUGAUGCUUAAUGAAUGAUGUUUAAGAAAGAUGUCAUAUUUUGUGAAACCAGCAUUUUAUUAUUAAAGAUAUUUUUUAUUUUUU